UAGUGUUACAGCUCUUUUAGAAUUUGUCUAGCAGGUUUUCUGGUCUCUACCAGAAGACACCUCC
Otolemur garnettii (small-eared galago) is the source of this 64-nucleotide non-coding RNA. NCBI's taxonomy places the organism in Eukaryota, Metazoa, Chordata, Mammalia, Primates, Galagidae. The record is from Rfam.